UAGGGAAUAUUAGAAAUGGCCGAAAGUCUGAUCUAGCGACACCGCGUGUGCGAAGAAGGCCUUCGGGUUGUAAAGCACUUUUUGGAAGGAAUAGGAAGGAAGGUACUUCCAGAAUAAGUCUCGGCUAACUACGUGCCAGCAGCCGCGGUAACACGUAGGAGGCGAACGUUAUCCGGAUUUACUGGGCGUAAAGCGCGUGUAGGUGGUUUUGUAAGUAGGGCGUGAAAGCUCCUGGCUCAACUAGGAGAGGCCGUUCUAAACUGCAGAGAUAGAGGAUGGUAGAGGGAGGUGGAAUUCCAGGUGUAGCGGUGGAAUGCGCAGAUAUCUGGAGGAACACCAGUGGCGAAGGCGGCCUCCUGGACCAUUCCUGACACUCAGACGCGAAAGCUAGGGUAGCAAACGG
RNAcentral lists this ribosomal RNA (403 nucleotides) under uncultured bacterium. RNAcentral describes it as "bacterial SSU rRNA". It matches the Rfam family "Bacterial small subunit ribosomal RNA", at positions 355 to 775 of the family's 1533-position model. The record is from RNAcentral.